AACGAACGCUGGCGGCAUGCCUAACACAUGCAAGUCGAACGAGACCUUCGGGUCUAGUGGCGCACGGGUGCGUAACGCGUGGGAAUCUGCCCUUGGGUUCGGAAUAACUCGCCGAAAGGCGUGCUAAUACCGGAUGAUGUCGUAAGGCCAAAGAUUUAUCGCCCAGGGAUGAGCCCGCGUAAGAUUAGGUAGUUGGUGAGGUAAAGGCUCACCAAGCCGACGAUCUUUAGCUGGUCUGAGAGGAUGAUCAGCCACACUGGGACUGAGACACGGCCCAG
RNAcentral lists this ribosomal RNA (278 nucleotides) under uncultured bacterium. Its description in RNAcentral is "partial 16S ribosomal RNA". It matches the Rfam family "Bacterial small subunit ribosomal RNA", at positions 29 to 334 of the family's 1533-position model. The record is from RNAcentral.